CUAUUACACUUCCAUUACGUUGAAAUUCCCUAAUGAGGGACCUGCAGUUAUUGCAGUUUGAAAAAUCGUUCCAUUCGGGUGUGUCGUACCCGACAUAUUUCAACAAGUAUUGGACCUUUCGUCCAUUUUCAAACUGCACAACCCUACAAACGGCGAAGAAAAAUAAUUAAAACACAAUAAGAUAAAAAAAAUUUAUAAAUGAAAUUAAAUUUGAUAAUGUUUCCCUUACCUUCGGUUUAAACAAUCCUCAACCUCGAAUUCUUCGUACAUGUUGUACAUGUUGGAGGGGACUUGGUGGAUGGGGACUUGGUGAUUCCUCGGCAUCUUGGAUAUGAUCUAGUCUGGCAACCCUACUUAUCCAUACUCCCCAUCAGUUUUGGAUGCAGUCGCCGAGGUGAAGGUUUGAAAAAAGUUAAAAAGUCUCUUCUUGACUUGUUUACCUGGAAUCUUGCCACAAAAAGUUUGCUGAUGAAGGAAUUAAAUUUAAUGCUGGUUGAAUCCGACCAUAAGUACAACUACUAAUGCCCGUCUUAGUGGACGGCUCCUUGUACAAUCACUUACGGAAUUCAUCUUGAAUUGACCCAAAGUUAUUCUGUAUUUGUCUUUGUUGGACUGGCCAUUGCUGUUUUUUUCUCAACAGUUGGUUUGUUAUCCAGAUGUAACAACAGAAAAGCCUAUGUUGGCAUGUAAUGCGUUUAAAGAAGUAGCUAACCAAUAACCAUGGGAAGAAAUCAGCAUGGUAAAUGUUGGAGCAGAAUGGUCGCCGGAAAGAGUUCCGUAAAAAUAGCACAAAAGUAGAAGGACGCAGACAAUAGCUGAAAGCUCAUGAGGGGUCAGCAAACUAAUUCUUUUUAUUCUUAUUUUUAAUCUGUUGGAGGUGUUUGCCAUUGUAAUUGGCAUGAACUUGUAACACCUUCACUGCUGAAUCUUAUUUGACAAGUGCACUUUAUUUUGUGUUGGCAACCAUUAACCAUCACCAUUUCAUCAACCUUCUUCUCACUUCUAGUGAGCCUCUCAAGUGACCAGAUUUUAUGUUGACCUUGUGGAACUAAAAGUGCAAAGGGUGCAGGCCCUGAAGGAUUUGACAAGUGCACCGUAUGCUGUGUUUGCAACCAUUAACUACCACCAUUUGAGCAAUCAUCUCAUCAUUUCUACUGAACCUAUUGUGUGAAAGGAUUUUGUGUUCUAAGUACGAGGAACUUAAAAUGCAAAGGAUACUGGCCCUGAAGGAAAGUAAUCAGCUAAAUAAAUAUCACCAACAGAAAUACAUGUCAGACAAUGUCAACGCCAUC
Molecule: long non-coding RNA, 1292 nt
Organism: Daphnia magna
Lineage: Eukaryota; Metazoa; Arthropoda; Branchiopoda; Diplostraca; Daphniidae
Exons: 6
Source: RefSeq, a predicted model, not a curated record